UGUUCACCUAGCAAAAUAUGAAAGCAAAGUUAUGUUUUGAACCUUCUGUAAACAUCUUUCAAUUAUAUUAUGAGGGGAUACAUAUAAAUUUACCUUAAUUUGCGAGUAACGGUACAGACAUACAAAGAGGAGAAUAUAUAAAAACAUUUAUAAAUCUGUUUAAGGAAUGGGAAGUUGUUUAUGUCACAAAGUGGAAUUGGAACGUCGAAUAGAAAGAAGAACCUAUCAAGACGGGAAAGUCGCAACUGAAGAUAUAGCGGUUCAAAUAUAUAAAGGAGAUGCAAAAGACAUUAAAAUGAAAGCAAACGGAAGCUUUAUUGGCCUUGGAACGAUGGGACUUGGAGAUGUUAAGCAAAAAGCAAUCUGUUAUGAAUGAGUCUAAAUUAUGAAAAUUCGAUUUACCAUACAUUAGACGGGUUAAAUAACAAAUAUUGAAAUCUAGCGUCAAGCUAAAAUACUAAAAAAAAAAGGAACCUCUUAAAGAAAAACAAGUUUAUCAAAUAACAAGUGUUAAAUAUUUUCACCGCUUUUCACGGGAUAUCAAGUAAUGGAAAACUCAAACCAUUAUCAGUAUCUUGUUGAAAGAUAAAGGUUAAACUCCCUACUGAAUUUGUUUUUGUAUUUUUAGGGUUCU
This is a long non-coding RNA of Mytilus californianus (California mussel), 634 nucleotides long. RefSeq lists it as uncharacterized. Lineage: Eukaryota; Metazoa; Mollusca; Bivalvia; Mytilida; Mytilidae. The record is from RefSeq and is a predicted model, not a curated record. The transcript has 2 exons.